GACGAACGCUGGCGGCGUGCUUAACACAUGCAAGUCGAACGGUGAAGCGAGUGCUUGCACUCGUGGAUCAGUGGCGAACGGGUGAGUAACACGUGAGUAACCUGCCCAUCACUCUGGGAUAAGCACUGGAAACGGUGUCUAAUACUGGAUACGACCAACCCUUGCAUGGGGUGUUGGUGGAAAGAUUUAUCGGUGAUGGAUGGACUCGCGGCCUAUCAGCUUGUUGGCGGGGUAAUGGCCCACCAAGGCGACGACGGGUAGCCGGCCUGAGAGGGUGACCGGCCACACUGGGACUGAGACACGGCCCAGACUCCUACGGGAGGCAGAAGUGGGGAAUAUUGCACAAUGGGCGAAAGCCUGAUGCAGCGACGCCGCGUGAGGGAUGACGGCCUUCGGGUUGUAAACCUCUUUCAGCAGGGAAGAAGCGAAAGUGACGGUACCUGCAGAAGAAGCACCGGCUAACUACGUG
RNAcentral lists this ribosomal RNA (469 nucleotides) under uncultured bacterium. RNAcentral's name for it is "partial 16S ribosomal RNA". It matches the Rfam family "Bacterial small subunit ribosomal RNA", at positions 28 to 507 of the family's 1533-position model. The record is from RNAcentral.